Molecule: long non-coding RNA, 163 nt
Filed under: Microtus ochrogaster (prairie vole)
Lineage: Eukaryota; Metazoa; Chordata; Mammalia; Rodentia; Cricetidae
Description: Rhabdomyosarcoma 2 associated transcript conserved region 10 (ENSMOCG00000007248.1)
Rfam family: Rhabdomyosarcoma 2 associated transcript conserved region 10
Source: RNAcentral
UAGCCCGCUCUCCUUGUGGGCAGCGUUCAACCCUUCCGUGACUCUUUUUUUUCCCCCUGACAACUUUUGAGGUCUUUCUUCUGAAACCAAGAAGAAAUAGACAAACCAGGUUUGUCCUCUUGGGAAUGUGGUCCAGAUUUCUCUACUCCCAAUCUCCAAAAAA